This 1436-nucleotide ribosomal RNA is filed under the name metagenome. RNAcentral's name for it is "bacterial SSU rRNA". It matches the Rfam family "Bacterial small subunit ribosomal RNA". The record is from RNAcentral.
CGGGAGGCGAUGAUUGGUGACGGAGCGGCGGACGGGUGAGUAACGCGUGGCUAACCUACCCUCUUGACGGGGACAACCACUCGAAAGGGUGGCUAAUACCCGAUAUUGAUUGGAACCGAUGGGUUCCUCUCCAAAGGCGGUCCUGCCGCCGCGAGGGGAUGGGGCUGCGUCCUAUUAGCUAGUUGGUGAAGUAACGGCUCACCAAGGCUUCGAUGGGUAGCUGGUCUGAGAGGACGGCCAGCCACAUUGGGACUGAGAUACGGCCCAGACUCCUACGGGAGGCAGCAGUGGGGAAUCUUGGCCAAUGGACGAAAGUCUGAGCCAGCGACACCGCGUGGGGGAUGACGGCCUUCGGGUUGUAAACCCCUUUUCUGGGGAAAGAAUAAGGACGGGAGGAAAUGCCCGCCCGAUGACGGUACUCCAGGAAUAAGCAUCGGCUAACUCUGUGCCAGCAGCCGCGGUAAGACAGAGGAUGCGAGCGUUAUCCGGAAUUACUGGGCGUAAAGGGCGUCUAGGCGGUUCGGUAUUCGUUUGUGAAAUCCCUUGGCUCAACCGAGGAGAGUCUUGCGAUACUGCCGGGCUUGGGUGUAGGAGAGGAGGGUGGAACUCACAGAGUAGUGGUGGAAUGCGUAGAUACUGUGAGGUACCCCGAUGGCGAAGGCAACCCUCUGGCCUACUACCGACGCUGAAGCGCGAAAGCGUGGGGAGCAAAGGGGAUUAGAUACCCCCGUAGUCCACGCCCUAAACAAUGUUCACUUGGUGUCGGCCGCUUAUACUGGUCGGUGCCGAAGCUAACGCGUUAAGUGAACCGCCUGAGGAGUACGGCCGCAAGGCUAAAACUCAAGAGAAUUGACGGGUCCCUGCACAAGCGGUGGAGCACGUGGCUUAAUUCGAUGAUAAUCGAAGAACCUCACCCAGGCUUGACAUACUAGUGGUAGAAACCUGAAAGGGGGCCGACCCUGCCUUCGGGUAGGGAGCUAGUACAGGUGAUGCAUGGCUGUCGUCAGCUCGUGUCGUGGGAUGUUGGGUUCAGUCCCGAAACGAGCGCAACCCUUGUCGUUAGUUGCCAGCGGGUAAUGCCGGGGACUCUAACGAGACUGCUGGUGAAUAGCCGGAGGAAGGCGGGGAUGACGUCAAGUCAUCAUGUCCCUUAUGCCUGGGGCGACACACAUGCUACAAUGGGGGGUACAAAGGGUCGCAAUCCCGUAAGGGGGAGCCAAUCCAUAAAAACCCCUCUCAGUUCGGAUUGAGGUCUGCAACUCGACCUCAUGAAGCCGGAAUCGCUAGUAAUCGCGGGUCAGCCAUACCGCGGUGAAUAUGUACUCAGGGAUUGUACACACCGCCCGUCACACCAACCGAGUGGGGGGUACCUGAAGUCGCUCUUCUAAGGGCGCCUAGGGUAACUUCCGCAAGAGGGGUGAAGUCGUAACAAGGUA